Molecule: long non-coding RNA, 1571 nt
Organism: Ruditapes philippinarum (Manila clam)
Lineage: Eukaryota; Metazoa; Mollusca; Bivalvia; Venerida; Veneridae
Exons: 5
Source: RefSeq, a predicted model, not a curated record
UCUUGUACAUAUUAUGAAACUGAUCAAUUAAUAUGUUUGUGUUUUAAUACCUAUAUUUUUUGUACUUGUAGAUCUACAGUACUUGGAAGUUGCCAGGUUCUUCUAAUUGUAAAAUAAUAAUAAUAUAUUCCCUUUGAAUAGAAGAGGUUGGAGGAUCCUGGUCCUACAUUGAAAUUAUAGUGGAUACACAAGGAUGUGGAUGGUUGUGCAAGAUUUGCAAAGUGUGUGUUGGAAUGAGGCAUGAUGGAGCAAUUGGACCGAGGAGUUGCACCAAAUAUGAUGAUGACUGUGUAUGUGUUGGAAUGAGGCAUGAUGGAGCAAUUGGACCAUGGAGUUGCAUCAAAUGUGAUGAUGAAUGUGCUCUUGCAGACCAUGGAGUUGCAUCAAAUGUGAUGAUGGAUGUGAUCUUGCAGAUUAUGGAGUUGCACCAAAUAUGAUGAAUGAUGUGAUCUUUCAGACCGAGGAGUUGCACCAAAUAUGAUGAUGACUGUGUAUGUGUUGGAUUGAGGCAUGAUGGAGCAAUUGGACCGAGGAGUUGCAUCAAAUGUGAUGAUGGAUGUGAUCUUUCAGACCAUGGAGUUGCACCAAAUAUGAUGAUGGAUGUGAUCUUUCAGACCAUGUAGUUGCACCAAAUAUGAUGAUGGAUAGAUGUCAGAAAGUGGACUGUGACAGAGUAAUGAAGAACUUGACAUGCAUGGUGGAAGUUGAUCGAGACUAUCAAUUCUUCGAGAGGUCCAGCAACAUUAUACUCGCAAGAAGGAUAUGGUAUGGAAUAGCUUUCUACACCUCUGGGCUGGCAGAUUUGUAAGAUUGGAAGUUGUUUCAGUGUGGAGAGAGAUGAACACUUUGUAUGGUCAGGUAAAAUUUGCUGUUGAAGUCACAAGUUAGUCUCAAUAAUGGCAUUUCCAUUUCUUGUUUUCUAACUAGCUAUGUACUGGAAAGUUGGUGGUUCUACUCUUAAAAGGUGUCUGUUUUUGUCCCGAGUAGGUCUCAAUAACGCCAUUUCCAUUUCUUGUUUUCUAACAAGCUAUGUAUUGAAAAGGUGGUUCUACUCUUAAAAGGUGUCUGUCUUUGUCCCAAGUAAGUCUCAAUAAAGCCAUUUCCAUUUCUUGUUUUCUAACUAGCUAUGUAUUGGAAAGUUGGUGGUUCUACUCUUAAAAAAUGUCUGUCUUUGUCCGAAACAAUGUCAUUAAGGCAGAAUUUCCUCUACCUUUAAAGCUGGACAGUCACCAAAAUAGAACGUAGAAUUGUAUCUGUUUAAUAGAAAAAUUGCUUAGGUUACUUUUUGAGAUUGCAAUGUUGUUCUGUUAACCCCAGUGACAUUUCAGAAAACCCUUGCAACAUGUUGGCUAGAUUUCUAGAUUGAUGUUGGAAGUUGUGAUGAUGGAUUUAUGUCAGAAUGUGGAUGGUUGUGUGACAUUGGUGAAGUGAUUUUUAUGACAUUGGUGAAGUGUGAUUGUGCUGGAAAGUGACAUGAUGGAGCAUUGUAAACCUAUAGACCAUGGAGUCUGAAUGGCUUAAGUGGCAUUAAAUGUGAUGAUGGAUAGAUGUCAGGAAAUGGAUGGUAAAAG